RNAcentral lists this ribosomal RNA (320 nucleotides) under uncultured eukaryote. Its description in RNAcentral is "partial 18S ribosomal RNA". It matches the Rfam family "Eukaryotic small subunit ribosomal RNA", at positions 1470 to 1796 of the family's 1831-position model. The record is from RNAcentral.
CCCUUAGAUGUUCUGGGCUGCACGCGUGUUACAAUCGGGAGUACAACAAGAUUGCAAAUCCUAGUGGAUGAGUGGUUCUUCGAAAUUUUCUGAAGACUGGGAUAGUUGAUUGAAAUUAUUCAACUCGAACGAGGAAUUCCUUGUAAUUGUAAUUCAUUAUAUUGUAAUGAAUACGUCCCUGCCCUUUGUACACACCGCCCGUCGCUCCUACCGAUUGAACGAUCCGGUGAAUUAUUUGGAGUAGCUCUGGAAGUUGCAGAACUUCCUAUGUCACGAAAUUUUGUAAACCUUAUCGUUUAGAGGAAGGAAAGGUCGUAACA